RNAcentral lists this ribosomal RNA (451 nucleotides) under uncultured bacterium. RNAcentral's name for it is "partial 16S ribosomal RNA". It matches the Rfam family "Bacterial small subunit ribosomal RNA", at positions 28 to 523 of the family's 1533-position model. The record is from RNAcentral.
GACGAACGCUGGCGGCGUGCUUAACACAUGCAAGUCGAACGCCUGUAGCAAUACAGGAGUGGCAGACGGGUGCAUAACACGUGGGAACCUACCCUUGGGUACGGAAUAACCUCGGGAAACUGCGGCUAAUACCGGAUACGUCCUCUGGGAGAAAGAUUCAUCGCCCUUGGAGGGGCCCGCGUCGGAUUAGCUAGUUGGUGAGGUAACGGCGUACCAAGGCGACGAUCCGUAGCUGAUCUGAGAGGAUGAUCAGCCACACUGGAACUGAGACACGGUCCAGACUCCUACGGGAGGCAGCAGUGGGGAAUAUUGGACAAUGGGGGCAACCUUGAUCCAGCAAUGCCGCGUGGGUGAUGAAGGCCUUCGGGUUGUAAAGCCCUUUUGGCAGGGACGAUGAUGACGGUACCUGCAGAAUAAGCCCCGGCUAACUUCGUGCCAGCCGCCGCAGUAA